Molecule: ribosomal RNA, 451 nt
Filed under: uncultured bacterium
Lineage: Bacteria
Description: partial 16S ribosomal RNA
Rfam family: Bacterial small subunit ribosomal RNA
Source: RNAcentral
GAUGAACGCUGGCGGCGUGCCUAACACAUGCAAGUCGAGCGGCAGCGUGGGGUGCUUGCACCCUGUCGGCGAGCGGCGGACGGCUGAGUAACGCGUGGGAACGUGCCCCAAAGUGAGGAAUAACUGCCCGAAAGGGUAGCUAAUACCGCAUAUUAUCUUCGGAUCAAAGGAUUUAUUCGCUUUGGGGGCGGCUCGCGUCGGAUUAGGUAGUUGGUAAGGUAAUGGCUCACCAAGCCGACGAACCGUAGCUGGUAUGAGAGGAUGAGCAGCCAGACUGGAACUGAGACACGGUCCAGACUCCUACGGGAAGCAGCAGUGAGGAAUCUUCCACAAUGGGCGAAAGCCUGAUGGAGCAACGCCGCGUGCAGGACGAAGGCCUUCGGGUUGUAAACUGCUUUUAUAAGUGAGGAAUAUGACGGUAACUUAUGAAUAAGGAUCGGCUAACUACGUG